CACAUAGCGAGGAAAGAAACCAACAGGGAUUGCCCUAGUAACGGCGAGUGAAGCGGCAACAGCUCAGAUUUGAAAUCUGGCUCCUUCGGGGCCCGAGUUGUAAUCUGUAGAGGAUGCUUUUGGCGACGCGCCUUCCGAGUCCCCUGGAACGGGGCGCCAGAGAGGGUGAGAGCCCCGUAUGGUUGGACGCCGAACCUCUGUAAAGCUCCUUCGACGAGUCGAGUAGUUUGGGAAUGCUGCUCAAAAUGGGAGGUAAAUUUCUUCUAAAGCUAAAUACCGGCCAGAGACCGAUAGCGCACAAGUAGAGUGAUCGAAAGAUGAAAAGCACUUUGAAAAGAGGGUUAAAUAGCACGUGAAAUUGCUGAAAGGGAAGCGCUUGUGACCAGACUUGCGCCCGGUUGAUCAUCCAGCGUUCUCGCUGGUGCACUCUGCCGGGCUCAGGCCAGCAUCGGCUCUCCCAGGGGGAUAAAGGUCGCGGGAACGUAGCUCUCUUCGGGGAGUGUUAUAGCCCGUGGCGGAAUACCCUUAGGGGGGGCCGAGGCCCGCGUUCGCAAGGAUGCUGGCGUAAUGGUCACCAGCGACCCGUCUUGAAACACGGACCAAGGAGUCAAGCAUUAGGGCGAGUCUUUGGGUGUAAAACCCGCAGGCGCAAUGAAAGUGAACGGAGGUGAGAGCUUCGGCGCAUCAUCGACCGAUCCUGAUGUUCUCGGAUGGAUUUGAGUAAGAGCCUUACCGCUUGGACCCGAAAGAUGGUGAACUAUGCCUGAAUAGGGUGAAGCCAGAGGAAACUCUGGUGGAGGCUCGCAGCGGUUCUGACGUGCAAAUCGAUCGUCAAAUUUGGGCAUGGGGGCGAAAGACUAAU
Molecule: ribosomal RNA, 862 nt
Filed under: Distoseptispora chiangraiensis
Lineage: Eukaryota; Fungi; Ascomycota; Sordariomycetes; Distoseptisporaceae
Description: Distoseptispora sp. RX-2021a partial large subunit ribosomal RNA
Rfam family: Eukaryotic large subunit ribosomal RNA
Source: RNAcentral